RNAcentral lists this RNase P RNA (321 nucleotides) under Saprospiraceae bacterium. Its description in RNAcentral is "partial RNase P RNA component class A". It matches the Rfam family "Bacterial RNase P class A", at positions 113 to 367 of the family's 367-position model. From Rfam's summary of the family: Ribonuclease P (RNase P) is a ubiquitous endoribonuclease, found in archaea, bacteria and eukarya as well as chloroplasts and mitochondria. The record is from RNAcentral. Lineage: Bacteria; Pseudomonadati; Bacteroidota; Saprospiria; Saprospirales; Saprospiraceae.
CGCAGAAAAUAACCGCCACGUCCCGAUUUCGGGCCGGGGUAAGGAUGAAAACGUGCGGUAAGAGCGCACGAUUCCAGCUGGUAACAGCCGGGAUGGAUAAACCUUGCGGGUUGAAAUGCCAUGUACACCUUGUUUACCCGCCUUCGCCAAGGCUAUGGCGGGUAACCGCGCGGCUCGCGUAGUCCUGACCUCGGUCGGGAGCAAGGGGGGUAGGCAGCGCAGAUCCCGACCUCGGUCGGGACCAGAUAAAUGGCAGAGGUUCCUUGUCAUCCUGUAAAGGAUCUUGGAAUACAGAAUCCGGCUUAUAGGUCUGCGGUUUUU